This is a non-coding RNA of Triticum aestivum (bread wheat), 115 nucleotides long. The record is from Rfam. NCBI's taxonomy places the organism in Eukaryota, Viridiplantae, Streptophyta, Magnoliopsida, Poales, Poaceae.
CACAUACUCCCUCCGUUUGAGAUUACUUGUCUCGAAAAUGGAUGUAUCUAGAACUAAAAUACGUCUAGAUACAUCCAUUUCUGCGACAAGUAAUUCCGAACGGAGGGAGUAUUUC